CUCUGGUUGGAGUUUCAGCACUUCCAGGAGGAUGGAGGUCUUUCUCUCUGAGAGGUUUAUGGACCAGACUGCAGGAGCUGACUGGAAAACUGACUGUAAUGAUGGAAGGACACUCAAGCCUGUUUUAGUCUCAUAAGAGUACAGGUCCAUGAGGAAGUCACACCAUUUCUCUUCAAAAGAACUGUUUUUGUA
Long non-coding RNA from Oreochromis aureus, 192 nucleotides. RefSeq lists it as uncharacterized. The record is from RefSeq and is a predicted model, not a curated record. Lineage: Eukaryota; Metazoa; Chordata; Actinopteri; Cichliformes; Cichlidae. The transcript is spliced from 3 exons.